RNAcentral lists this ribosomal RNA (398 nucleotides) under uncultured organism. RNAcentral describes it as "bacterial SSU rRNA". It matches the Rfam family "Bacterial small subunit ribosomal RNA", at positions 45 to 433 of the family's 1533-position model. The record is from RNAcentral.
UGGAUUAGGCAUGCAAGUCGAGCGACGGGACCGCAAGGCCUCGUAGCGGCAAACGGGUUAGUAACGCGUGAGUAAUUUUCCUUUAAGACAGGCAUAGCUUCGUGAAAACGGAGGUAAUACCUGAUAAUACCAUAGAUGUGCAUAUGUCAAUGGUCAAAGGUAGGGACCGCAAGGCCUACUACUUAGAGAUGAGCUCGCGUCCUAUCAGCUUGUUGGUAGGGUAAUGGCCUACCAAGGCUUAUGACGGGUAGCUGGUCUGAGAGGACGAUCAGCAACACUGGGACUGAGACACUGCCCAGACUCCUACGGGAGGCUGCAGUCGAGAAUCUUUAGCAAUGGACGAAAGUCUGACUAUGCGACGCCGCGUGAGGGAUGAAGGUCUUCGGAUCGUAAACCUC